This 1162-nucleotide ribosomal RNA is filed under the name Phormidesmis sp. WJT24-NPBG9. RNAcentral describes it as "bacterial SSU rRNA". It matches the Rfam family "Bacterial small subunit ribosomal RNA", at positions 356 to 1531 of the family's 1533-position model. RNAcentral also lists the same sequence under 2 other names. The record is from RNAcentral. Lineage: Bacteria; Bacillati; Cyanobacteriota; Cyanophyceae; Leptolyngbyales; Leptolyngbyaceae.
GGGGAAUUUUCCGCAAUGGGCGAAAGCCUGACGGAGCAAUACCGCGUGAGGGAGGAAGGCUCUUGGGUCGUAAACCUCUUUUAUCAGGGAAGAAACAAAUGACGGUACCUGAUGAAUCAGCAUCGGCUAACUCCGUGCCAGCAGCCGCGGUAAUACGGAGGAUGCAAGCGUUAUCCGGAAUUAUUGGGCGUAAAGCGUCCGCAGGUGGUUUUGAAAGUUUGCUGUCAAAGCGCGGAGCUUAACUUCGUACCGGCAGUGAAAACUCCAAGACUAGAGUUUGGUAGGGGUCACGGGAAUUCCCAGUGUAGCGGUGAAAUGCGUAGAGAUUGGGAAGAACACCAGCGGCGAAAGCGCGUGACUGGGCCUGAACUGACACUCAUGGACGAAAGCUAGGGGAGCGAAAGGGAUUAGAUACCCCUGUAGUCCUAGCCGUAAACGAUGACAACUAGGUGUUGCCCGUAUCGACCCGGGCAGUGCCGUAGCCAACGCGUUAAGUUGUCCGCCUGGGGAGUACGCACGCAAGUGUGAAACUCAAAGGAAUUGACGGGGGCCCGCACAAGCGGUGGAGUAUGUGGUUUAAUUCGAUGCAACGCGAAGAACCUUACCAAGGCUUGACAUGUCGCGAACCUUUGUGAAAGCAGAGGGUGCCUUCGGGAGCGCGAACACAGGUGGUGCAUGGCUGUCGUCAGCUCGUGUCGUGAGAUGUUGGGUUAAGUCCCGCAACGAGCGCAACCCUCGUUUCUAGUUGCCAUCAUUGAGUUGGGCACUUUAGAGAGACUGCCGGUGACAAACCGGAGGAAGGUGGGGAUGACGUCAAGUCAGCAUGCCCCUUACGCCUUGGGCUACACACGUACUACAAUGCUACGGACAAAGAGCCGCAAGUUCGCGAGGACAAGCAAAUCUCAUAAACCGUGGCUCAGUUCAGAUUGCAGGCUGCAACUCGCCUGCAUGAAGGCGGAAUCGCUAGUAAUCGCAGGUCAGCAUACUGCGGUGAAUACGUUCCCGGGCCUUGUACACACCGCCCGUCACACCAUGGAAGUUGGCCACGCCCGAAGUCGUUACUCCAACCGUUCGCGGAGGAGGAUGCCGAAGGCAGGGCUGAUGACUGGGGUGAAGUCGUAACAAGGUAGCCGUACCGGAAGGUGUGGCUGGAUCACCUCCU